AGAGUUUGAUCAUGGCUCAGAACGAACGCUGGCGGCAUGCCUAACACAUGCAAGUCGGACGCCGCUGUCGCCUUCGGGCGGCAUGUGGAGUGGCGGACGGGUGAGUAACGCGUAGGAAUCUGCCCGGAAGUGGGGGACAACCGCUGGAAACGGCGGCUAAUACCGCAUACGCCCCAAGGGGGAAAGGNUUCAGCCGCUUUCGGAGGGUCCUGCGUUCGAUUAGCUUGUCGGUGAGGUGACGGCUCACCGAGGCGAUGAUNGAUAGCUGGUCUGAGAGGAUGAUCAGCCACACUGGGANUGAGACACGGCCCAGANUCUUACGGGAGGCANCANUGGGGAAUAUUGGACAAUGNGNGAAACGCNUGAUACACGCAAU
RNAcentral lists this ribosomal RNA (376 nucleotides) under uncultured bacterium. Its description in RNAcentral is "partial 16S ribosomal RNA". It matches the Rfam family "Bacterial small subunit ribosomal RNA", at positions 8 to 395 of the family's 1533-position model. The record is from RNAcentral.